GGAGUAGCCAAGUAGGAGGUGUAGUGCCUGCUGAAGGGGAAAUAAAAACAAAAUAGGAAUUGAUGCUGCAAGCAGGUUGCUAGAAGUUAGGUUUGAGGUGGGCUUAGAGAUGAUGAAGUUCUAAAGGGUUGCUAAGCCCCUGCCUGUGCUGCUAAUAGGUUGGGGUUAGCAGGGGCAUCCCAGCCCUCCUAGAGGCUUAAAAUAAAGUUGGUAAUGAGGUUAGGCAUUGUUUUUGAAGUAAUUUGUGGUUGGAUUGACUGCAGGUCACCUGUGAUUGCUCCAAAUAGCAGAGGGAGAGAAAAUCUUUGUGUUGGCCAUGGAGAAGGUGUGAACAGGAACACAGGGGAUGGCAGAUCUACUGGAAUGAUGAAUGUUUCAGAUCUCUCUGCUGUGCUCCAGUCUGAUGUAACGGGCUCCAAACCUGCACACAUCCUCACUGAGGAAGGCUGGUCUGCAGGGAUUAUUUCCAAGGGUACUUUUUCAAGGUGACAACACACCCUGGCUGGUAGUCGUUACUUUUGUAAUCAUCUCUAAUCAGACACUGAAAUAAAACUGUUUUGCCAAAUUGCA
This 570-nucleotide long non-coding RNA is filed under the name Coturnix japonica (Japanese quail). Its description in RNAcentral is "lncRNA (ENSCJPG00005000844.1)". Lineage: Eukaryota; Metazoa; Chordata; Aves; Galliformes; Phasianidae. The record is from RNAcentral.